AGUGAAGCGGGAAAAGCUCAAAUUUAAAAUCUGGUGGUCUUCGGCCAUCCGAGUUGUAAUCUAGAGAAGUGUUACCCGCGUCGGACCGUGUACAAGUCUCCUGGAAUGGAGCGUCAUAGAGGGUGAGAAUCCCGUCUUUGACACGGACUACCGAGGCUUUGUGGUGCGCUCUCAAAGAGUCGAGUUGUUUGGGAAUGCAGCUCAAAAUGGGUGGUAAAUUCCAUCUAAAGCUAAAUAUUGGCGAGAGACCGAUAGCGAACAAGUACCGUGAGGGAAAGAUGAAAAGAACUUUGGAAAGAGAGUUAAACAGUACGUGAAAUUGCUGAAAGGGAAACGCUUGAAGUCAGUCGCGUUGGCCGGAAAUCAGCCUUCCUUUUGGUUGGUGUACUUUCUGGUUGACGGGCCAGCAUCAGUUUUGACCGGUGGAUAAAGUUGUGAGGAAUGUGGCAUCUUCGGGUGUGUUAUAGCCUCGCUUCGUAUACAUCGGUUGGGACUGAGGAACUCACACGCCGAAAGGCCGGGGUUCGCCCACGUUCGUGCUUAGAUGCUGGCAUAAUGGCUUUAAUCACCCGUCUUGAAACACUUU
RNAcentral lists this ribosomal RNA (586 nucleotides) under Ephemerocybe sassii. Its description in RNAcentral is "eukaryotic LSU rRNA". It matches the Rfam family "Eukaryotic large subunit ribosomal RNA", at positions 92 to 664 of the family's 3401-position model. Lineage: Eukaryota; Fungi; Basidiomycota; Agaricomycetes; Agaricales; Psathyrellaceae. The record is from RNAcentral.